UGGGGAAUAUUGGACAAUGGGCGAAAGCCUGAUCCAGCCAUGCCGCGUGUGUGAAGAAGGUCUUCGGAUUGUAAAGCACUUUAAGUUGGGAGGAAGGGCAUUAACCUAAUACGUUAGUGUUUUGACGUUACCGACAGAAUAAGCACCGGCUAACUCUGUGCCAGCAGCCGCGGUAAUACAGAGGGUGCAAGCGUUAAUCGGAAUUACUGGGCGUAAAGCGCGCGUAGGUGGUUUGUUAAGUUGGAUGUGAAAUCCCCGGGCUCAACCUGGGAACUGCAUUCAAAACUGACUGACUAAAGUAUGGUAGAGGGUGGUGGAAUUUCCUGUGUAGCGGUGAAAUGCGUAGAUAUAGGAAGGAACACCAGUGGCGAAGGCGACCACCUGGACUAAUACUGACACUGAGGUGCGAAAGCGUGGGGAGCAAACA
Molecule: ribosomal RNA, 427 nt
Filed under: uncultured bacterium
Lineage: Bacteria
Description: partial 16S ribosomal RNA
Rfam family: Bacterial small subunit ribosomal RNA
Source: RNAcentral